Molecule: ribosomal RNA, 253 nt
Filed under: Fusicatenibacter saccharivorans
Lineage: Bacteria; Bacillati; Bacillota; Clostridia; Lachnospirales; Lachnospiraceae
Description: partial 16S ribosomal RNA
Rfam family: Bacterial small subunit ribosomal RNA
Source: RNAcentral
UACGUAGGGGGCAAGCGUUAUCCGGAUUUACUGGGUGUAAAGGGAGCGUAGACGGCAAGGCAAGUCUGAAGUGAAAGCCCGGUGCUUAACGCCGGGACUGCUUUGAAAACUGUUUGGCUGGAGUGCCGGAGAGGUAAGCGGAAUUCCUAGUGUAGCGGUGAAAUGCGUAGAUAUUAGGAAGAACACCAGUGGCGAAGGCGGCUUACUGGACGGUAACUGACGUUGAGGCUCGAAAGCGUGGGGAGCAAACAGG